Molecule: ribosomal RNA, 441 nt
Filed under: uncultured bacterium
Lineage: Bacteria
Description: partial 16S ribosomal RNA
Rfam family: Bacterial small subunit ribosomal RNA
Source: RNAcentral
CCUACGGGAGACAGCAGUGGGGAAUAUUGCACAAUGGGGGAAACCCUGAUGCAGCGACGCCGCGUGAGUGAAGAAGUAUUUCGGUAUGUAAAGCUCUAUCAGCAGGGAAGAAGAAAGACGGUACCUGACUAAGAAGCCCCGGCUAACUACGUGCCAGCAGCCGCGGUAAUACGUAGGGGGCAAGCGUUAUCCGGAUUUACUGGGUGUAGAGGGAGCGUAGACGGCUGUGCAAGUCUGAAGUGAAAGCCCAGGGCUCAACCCUGGGACUGCUUUGGAAACUGUGGAGCUAGAGUGCUGGAGAGGUAAGUGGAAUUCCUAGUGUAGCGGUGAAAUGCGUAGAUAUUAGGAGGAACACCAGUGGCGAAGGCGGCUUACUGGACAGUAACUGACGUUGAGGCUCGAAAGCGUGGGGAGCAAACAGGAUUAGAUACCCUUGUAGUC